AUUGAACGCUAGCGGCAGGCCUAACACAUGCAAGUCGAGGGGUAGCAGGAUUAAGCUUGCUUAAUUGCUGACGACCGGCGCACGGGUGCGUAACGCGUAUGCAACCUACCUUAUACUGGGGUAUAGCCCGGAGAAAUUCGGAUUAAUCCCCCAUAGUACUAAUGAAUCGCAUGGUUUAUUAGUUAAAGCAUUGCGGUAUAAGAUGGGCAUGCGUCCUCUUAGCUAGAUGGUGAGGUAACGGCUCACCAUGGCUACGAUAGGUAGGGGGCCUGAGAGGGAGGUCCCCCACACUGGUACGGAGACACGGACCAGACUCCUACGGGAGGCAGCAGUGAGGAAUAUUGGUCAAUGGGCGCGAGCCUGAACCAGCCAUGCCGCGUGCAGGAAGAAUGCCCUAUGGGUUGUAAACUGCUUUUAUUUGGGAAUAAACCUCUUUACGUGUAGAGAGCUGAAGGUACCAAAUGAAUAAGCACCGGCUAACUCCGUGCCAGCCGCCGCCGUAA
RNAcentral lists this ribosomal RNA (503 nucleotides) under uncultured bacterium. RNAcentral's name for it is "partial 16S ribosomal RNA". It matches the Rfam family "Bacterial small subunit ribosomal RNA", at positions 30 to 523 of the family's 1533-position model. The record is from RNAcentral.